This 253-nucleotide ribosomal RNA is filed under the name uncultured bacterium. RNAcentral describes it as "partial 16S ribosomal RNA". It matches the Rfam family "Bacterial small subunit ribosomal RNA", at positions 524 to 776 of the family's 1533-position model. The record is from RNAcentral.
UACAGAGGUCCCAAGCGUUGUUCGGAUUCACUGGGCGUAAAGGGUGCGUAGGCGGGUAAGUAAGUCAGUGGUGAAAUCUUCAAGCUUAACUUGGAAACUGCCAUUGAUACUAUUUAUCUUGAAUGUUCUGGAGGUCAGCGGAAUAUGUCAUGUAGCGGUGAAAUGCUUAGAUAUGACAUAGAACACCUAUUGCGAAGGCAGCUGACUACGGAAAUAUUGACGCUGAGGCACGAAAGCGUGGGGAUCAAACAGG